CUAGGUGUAGGACUGUGCCGGAGUUAACGCAAUAAGUAUCCCGCCUGGGGAGUACGGCCGCAAGGCUGAAACUCAAAGGAAUUGACGGGGCCCGCACAAGCGGUGGAGUAUGUGGUUUAAUUCGACGCAACGCGAAGAACCUUACCAAGCCUUGACAUUCAGGUGGUGCACGGCUGUCGUCAGCUCGUGUCGUGAGAUGUUGGGUUAAGUCCCGCAACGAGCGCAACCCCUAUCUUCUGUUACGACUCAGGAGAGACUGCCGCAGACAAUGCGGAGGAAGGCGGGGAUGACGUCAAGUCAUCAUGCCCCUUAUGGCUUGGGCUACACACGUACUACAAUGGCUCUUAUAGAGGGAAGCGAGGAGCGAUCCGGAGCAAACCCCAAAAACAGAGUCCCAGUUCGGAUUGCAGGCUGCAACCCGCCUGCAUGAAGCAGGAAUCGCUAGUAAUCGCAGGUCAGCAUACUGCGGUGAAUACGUUCCCGGGCCUUGUACACACCGCCCGUCACACCACGAAAGUCAUUCACACCCGAAGCCGGCGUCGAAGGUGGGGGCGAUGAUUGGGGUGAGUGUAACAAGGAACCGAGGG
This 587-nucleotide ribosomal RNA is filed under the name uncultured bacterium. RNAcentral describes it as "bacterial SSU rRNA". It matches the Rfam family "Bacterial small subunit ribosomal RNA", at positions 816 to 1505 of the family's 1533-position model. The record is from RNAcentral.